UGCCAGCAGCCGCGGUAAUACGUAGGGUGCGAGCGUUAAUCGGAUUUACUGGGAGUAAAGCGCGCGUAGGUGGUUCAGCAAGUUGGAUGUGAAAGCCCCGGGCUCAACCUGGGAACUGCAUCCAAAACUACUGGGCUAGAGUAUGGUAGAGGGUGGUGGAAUUAGUAGUGUAGCGGUGAAAUGCGUAGAUAUUACUAAGAACACCAAUGGCGAAGGCAGCUUACUGGCCAUAUCCUGACACUGAGAAACGAAAGCGUGGGGAGCGAACAGGAUUAGAUA
Molecule: ribosomal RNA, 279 nt
Filed under: uncultured bacterium
Lineage: Bacteria
Description: partial 16S ribosomal RNA
Rfam family: Bacterial small subunit ribosomal RNA
Source: RNAcentral